GGGGACGUAGCUCAGCGGAAGAGCACCUGCCUUGCACGCAGGGGGUCGCCGGUUCGAAUCCGGUCGUCUCCA
Molecule: transfer RNA, 72 nt
Filed under: Acidimicrobiia bacterium
Lineage: Bacteria; Bacillati; Actinomycetota; Acidimicrobiia
Description: tRNA-Ala
Rfam family: tRNA
About the family: Transfer RNA (tRNA) molecules are approximately 80 nucleotides in length. Their secondary structure includes four short double-helical elements and three loops (D, anti-codon, and T loops). Further hydrogen bonds mediate the characteristic L-shaped molecular structure. tRNAs have two regions of fundamental functional importance: the anti-codon, which is responsible for specific mRNA codon recognition, and the 3' end, to which the tRNAs corresponding amino acid is attached (by aminoacyl-tRNA synthetases). tRNAs cope with the degeneracy of the genetic code in two manners: having more than one tRNA (with a specific anti-codon) for a particular amino acid; and 'wobble' base-pairing, i.e. permitting non-standard base-pairing at the 3rd anti-codon position.
Source: RNAcentral